Molecule: ribosomal RNA, 381 nt
Filed under: uncultured bacterium
Lineage: Bacteria
Description: bacterial SSU rRNA
Rfam family: Bacterial small subunit ribosomal RNA
Source: RNAcentral
UACGUAGGGUGCGAGCGUUAAUCGGAAUUACUGGGCGUAAAGCGUGCGCAGGCGGUGCUGUAAGACCGAUGUGAAAUCCCCGGGCUUAACCUGGGAACUGCAUUGGUGACUGCAGCGCUGGAGUAUGGCAGAGGGGGGGUGGAAUUCCACGUGUAGCAGUGAAAUGCGUAGAGAUGUGGAGGAACACCGAUGGCGAAGGCAGCCCCCUGGGCCAAUACUGACGCUCAUGCACGAAAGCGUGGGGAGCAAACAGGAUUGGAUACCCUGGUAGUCCACGCCCUAAACGAUGUCAACUGGUUGUUGGGGAUUCAUUUCCUUAGUAACGUAGCUAACGCGUGAAGUUGACCGCCUGGGGAGUACGGUCGCAAGAUUAAAACUCAA